Molecule: ribosomal RNA, 292 nt
Filed under: uncultured bacterium
Lineage: Bacteria
Description: partial 16S ribosomal RNA
Rfam family: Bacterial small subunit ribosomal RNA
Source: RNAcentral
GUGCCAGCAGCCGCGGUAAUACGUAGGGGGCAAGCGUUGUCCGGAUUUAUUGGGCGUAAAGAGCGUGUAGGCGGCCAUGCAGGUCCGUUGUGAAAACUCGAGGCUCAACCUCGAGACGCCGGUGGAAACCGCAUGGCUAGAGUCCGGAAGAGGAGAGUGGAAUUCCUGGUGUAGCGGUGAAAUGCGCAGAUAUCAGGAAGAACACCCGUGGCGAAGGCGGCUCUCUGGGACGUGACUGACGCUGAGACGCGAAAGCGUGGGGAGCAAACAGGAUUAGAUACCCUGGUAGUCC